Molecule: unclassified non-coding RNA, 280 nt
Filed under: Hevea brasiliensis (rubber tree)
Lineage: Eukaryota; Viridiplantae; Streptophyta; Magnoliopsida; Malpighiales; Euphorbiaceae
Source: RNAcentral
GGCGGUUGGAAUUGUGGGGUCCCAUGGAAGAAUGUGCUUUGGAGGGAGAUGAUUUUGCCACGUCACAUACGUGGAGAUGCCAUGGAUGGCCUCGAUUGUGGGACCGGGAACUGUUGCAGAUUCCUUGGAAAUUCCGUAAGCAAAAACAGGAGUUGGGGGAAGAUCUCGGUGAAAUUUCCAUGUUUUGAAGAACAUGCCAAUCUGGAGAUGGUUAGGACGAUGGGCAUGGAAGGCAAGGAGUUUGGGCAUGUCGGGGAGGUCAUCGACGAACAUGGGCAGU